AGUGAACGCUGGCGGUAGGCCUAACACAUGCAAGUCGAACGGCAGCACAGUAAGAGCUUGCUCUUACGGGUGGCGAGUGGCGGACGGGUGAGGAAUACAUCGGAAUCUACUUUUUCGUGGGGGAUAACGUAGGGAAACUUACGCUAAUACCGCAUACGACCUACGGGUGAAAGCAGGGGAUCUUCGGACCUUGCGCGAUUGAAUGAGCCGAUGUCGGAUUAGCUAGUUGGCGGGGUAAAGGCCCACCAAGGCGACGAUCCGUAGCUGGUCUGAGAUGAUGAUCAGCCACAAUGGAACUGAGACACGGUCCAGACUCCUACGGGAGGCAGCAGUGGGGAAUAUUGGACAAAGGGAGCAAGCCUGAUCCAGCCAUACCGCGUGGGUGAAGAAGGCCUUCGGGUAGUAAAGACCUUUUGUUGGGAAAGAAAAGCAGCAGGUUAAUACCCCGCUGUUAUGACGGUACCCAAAGAAUAAGCACCGGCUAACUUCGUG
Molecule: ribosomal RNA, 492 nt
Filed under: uncultured bacterium
Lineage: Bacteria
Description: partial 16S ribosomal RNA
Rfam family: Bacterial small subunit ribosomal RNA
Source: RNAcentral